CCUGGGGGGCCGGGGCCUCAGCAGUGCGCUAGGCCUCUGGGGCUGCGCUUCUCACAGCUGUCGCUGGGGACACCGGGCCUCCUGUCUGGUGGCCUCCGCGCAGGCCCGGACACAGCCGGAAAGAAGCGCCAGGUGGGAAAGCGGCCAGGACGAGGCAUGCGGCCUGGGGAGCCGUGUGCUCCCUCUGGGCCUCAGCCUCCCCUUCCUCAGUCCCCUCCACGCCACAGACGCGCUCCAGAAUGGAGACGAAGCGCGCGGACGGCGGACGGACCGGACGGCUCCUCCCCCAGCCAGGCUGCUCCGCCAGCUCCGGACGGCUCCUCCCCAGCCAGGCUGCUCCGCCAGCUCCGGGAGGGCGCUCACCGGCUGCUGUCAGCACAGGGGCCCUUGGGGAGGGUGCCUGGCCGCUCCCGUGCCUCCUCCCGGGCACACGGCGCCGUGUGGAGGAGCGCCGGGCUUUGCUCGCUCGGCCCAGACUCCUCUCCAGCCGGCGCUCGGCCGCCGAGGUGCACAGGCUGGGCUGGCUCUGCCUCCUCGCCCCGCUGGCCGGAGCAGGGUGGGGGUCGGAACCUGGGCCGGAAGCAAAGUCCGCUGCUGCGCCUUUUCCUUGCGGGGAGGCCUGGGUGGCCCCGAGGGCUCCCCCUCCUGAGGGGCUCCCCCACCACCUCAAGCUCCUCGCUGAGCGCAGCAGCCACUCAGGCAGUGCUGGCCGGCCGAGCGGGCCCUGUGAGAGCAGCGCGUGUGACACCUUGUCGGUGUCGGCUCCUGGAUCUGUGUAAUUAGCACGGCUGCUCUGGCCGGGGCGAUGCUGUCUGUGGCGGUCAGAGCAGGAAGACAGCUCCCUGUCUGCAGACUGGAUCGGGCCAUCGCACGGUCUCAGACUCCUCUCCUGGCUUAGGGACCAGGGUGCCGACCACAGCCCCGUGGAUAGGAGGAGAACUGCAGCGGCCAGGCGAGACGUGAACUGUGCUGCGGACACCCGUGUGGACCCUGGGGCUCCCAGCAAGUGUGGGCACUGCUGAGGGGCCAGGAACCCCUCACCCCAAGGCCCUGCCUGCAUCUCCCAAGCUGCACCACCUGGGAGGCGCCAUGGCGCCCGAGAGCAGCUUAGGCGCGUCCGACCUCGUGCGUCUCCUCGUGGCCUUUCACACAUCCAGCAAAGCCCAGCCUGGGGCAGACGUGCGUCUCCAGCUGGGUUCCUCCUGUGGCCACGGCAGAGACCACGCCCCAUCCCCGAGCCCUGGGGACACUGCAGGCCCACACGUGGCCCUGCUCAGCUCCCUUGCCGAGGCCUCCAGGUGAGGCGCAGCAGGAGGCACCCAGUGGGGCAUCUGCUUGGGCGGAUGGUGCAGCACGGAGGCCCAGGCCGGCCUGGGAAGGACCUGUCCUGUGGGGCUCAUGGACCCCACAUGUGGUGUCGUCGAGGUCACCUGUGUGCACCCCGCACCUCUCACACCUGUGUAUUGAUGAGCUGCUUCCUGAUGCUGCGAGGGCCUGAGAACCCCAGAGGACACGGGUCCCAUGAGGUCACACGCGGGUCAUGCAUGGUCACAGCAUCACGCCUGCUACAGAGGGCCACCGAGGCCGAAAGGCAGAGACUGCAGCCAGCGGGAGGGCGGAGGCACGGCGCCCUGUCUGGGCCACCAUGGCCACAGGCAGGGCCCAUGUCCCCAACAUGCGCUUCCUGCCGGGAGAGCCCGGCUUGGAGAGGCCAGCAGCGCGACCUCGGGGCUGCUUUGACCUUGGGCCUCUGGACUUCCUGGCCCAGGCCGUCCCUCUCUUUGGGGAGCAGCUCUCUCCGAACUCCUGCCGUGGGAGCCCCGCUGGCCAAGGCUGGGCAGGCGAGUGUGUCCCUGGAAGACAGAACAGACAAGCCCAGAUCCUGGCAAAGUCACCAGCACCACGGUUGGCUCGGGCACCUCUGAGCCGCUCUUCGGAGCAGCCGGGCUGACCCUCCAGUGCGCGUGGGCGGUCACCUGCCACCCGCCUCGGGCUCUGUGCGGCUGAGCUUCAGCGAAGGCUGAACCGUCAACCUCGCCCUGAAGGCCGGCGCUGUCACCUGGGCUCAGGGUUGCGGGAGCCCGGCCUCUGGAGCCAGGGCAGGAGCAAGUCCCUCCCACCUCGCCGGGGUGGUGCGUGCGGCUUUGCUUUCUGCUGCCUUUCGUCAGGCUUGUGUUUCAUGAGAAGAAACGGCGGUCGGGAAAUCCCUGGCUUUCUCGUGGGGACACAGCUCCCCGUGUGGUUGGGACGCGGAAUUGGGAACCGCGUGGUGUCUGGGCCCUCUUCUUCCAGCCCGCUGGGUUUGCCUCUUCCCAGGAGUCAGAAGCAGCGCUGCCGAGUACGGAGUUGCAGCUCCACGUCAGUGGUUUCCUUCUUUUUUUUUUCUUUUGGUACCGGGGAUCGAACUCGGGUCCUUGCGCUUGCGCAGCAGGCGGUGAAACCACUGAGCUAAAUUCCCGGCCCCUGGAUCCUUCUUUUACGGAGAGAGGAGUGUGCGCAUGCGUGCUGCCAGCACCCAUCCCUUAAAACAGCGGAAGCAGGUUUAGCUCAUUUCCCUCUAAGAUCACUGCAGCUCUGACUCAGACGGCGCAUACUUCAUGG
Molecule: long non-coding RNA, 2601 nt
Filed under: Heterocephalus glaber (naked mole-rat)
Lineage: Eukaryota; Metazoa; Chordata; Mammalia; Rodentia; Bathyergidae
Description: lncRNA (ENSHGLG00000050343.1)
Source: RNAcentral